UCAGAUGGGGAUUAACUCUGAUGUGUAAUUUAUGCUCCAGAUGUCCCCUUGAGGGAUCAAGCCAAAGCCUCCUUCAGUAGGACUUGGCAUGAACUCAUGCUCUCCUUGGCUUCUUCCCCUUUCCCUUUCUGGUUUUGCUUUUUUUAUUCCCUUGCCAGUUUCCUCUGGGAGUUUUUCCUUAAUAAAUCACAUAGCAUACAAAGCAUUCUCUCAGGGUCGGCUUUUUACCCAAAAAAUAAUCACAUAAUUUAAUUAUCCCGGCCAGGAAACAUACUUGAGUGUGAAUGGGAAUGCUGUUAUUAGUUGUGCUGGGAAGGGGGUAUAGAUGGCAGUGGUCCAGGACAAAUUAGGAUGCAUGUUCAUCCUAGGGCUACAUGAUGCUUUCAGAGUCAGUCCUCGAGAAAGCCUUUAAUUCCGAGUUCUUUUAAGAUAAUGAAACAUCACUGUGCUGCACUGAUUGAACGUUGCUUAACAUUUUAUUGUUUCUAAUAUGUCCCCAGUAUAAGUCUUUAUUAGCUCAUGGUUGGCAUUCUUUUAGAGGCUGCCUAAUUCCUACCCCCUACCCCAAGACUCCUUUCUUGCCUUCUCAUCCCACCCAUUGUCCCUCCCACUGCAUUCUAGCUUAAAGUCAUAGUUUCCUCUGGAAACAGCCUCCCUUUAGUAUCUCAUGCGACUUAGCAGCAUCCCGAAAUUGCCCCUCACAUACUCUCCUAGAGAACUCAAAAGCACAGAUGCAAAAUGAACUCUAACAAUAGGCCAGAACAUCCCACAUUUUUGAAGGACUCCAGGAGAAUUAACCUUUCUAUAAAAUGAAUGCUGGCUGUUCAGCAGGAAGGCCAGAAGGCAAAGGGGCAGCAUGGCACCAUUCAAGAAGCACCAGCCUGGGAGACCGAGGACAAGGGACCAGGAAUAGAACUACACCACUGGGAAUUCCUCCAGAAGCACAAGAACUAGAUAUGAAGGAUAAAACUGUUCACUGGUCCAGGUCUCUGAUAAAAUUACUAUGUAAGCAUCAAAUUCUUAUGUCAUUUAAUAUCAGAGUAAAUGGUAAUUAGAGAGAAACUGAUGGAUUAGCUUAGCUGUGAAGUGUAAUGGUUGCAAAAUUAAAUACACUAAGUAGAAAUUUUAAGCAUAACCACUUUCAAAGGAAAUAGAAUUUUCAAAUAGCCUCUUUGGAAGAUUACUUAAUUCGUGUUUAUAAAUUAUGUUAAAGAUGAAAAGCCUUAUUAAAUAUUAGAGCAUCAUCUAAUACUCUAAUUUAUGUGCAGAAUGACAAUUAUCAAAUUGUAAUUAAAUAGUGAGAGAGCAUAAUGGUAUAAGGCUUUGAUAAAAGGCCUUGAUUACUAGGAUCAGGAUCUAAGUUGAUUGGUCUUAGGCAGCCUCUAUUUUCUCUUGUCAGACUAAAUGCAAUUUUCUUUUCAUGAGAAUUAAAAAAUUUAAGAUCAGAGUGUUUGGAUUUAGUUUGACAUUCUAAAUAUCAUUGUUAAUUGAUUUUGACAGAGCUAAUCAAUUGUCUUCUUUAAAUCUUAAAUUAGGAGUUCUCGUCAUGGCUCAGGGAUUAAUGAACCCGACUAGUAUCCACAAGGCCAUGGGUUCGAUCCCUGACCCUACUCAGUGGGUUAAGGAUCCAGUGAGCUGUGCUAUAGGUUACAGACGCGGCUCGGAUCUGACGUGACUGCGGCUGUGGCAUAGACCUGUGGCCACAGUUCCGAUUCAACCCCUAGCCUGGAAAUCCUCCACAUGUUGCAAGUGCGGCCCUAAAAAAAAACCUUAACAUUAAAGAAGCUAACUUAAUCCUAUCUCCUUUAACUCUUAAGACAUAAGGUAAUGUAGAUAUUUAUACAUGAAUAAUUAUUAUAUUGUUAUAGUAAAAUUACUAUAAUCAUUCAUUUGUUUUUAUAUAUGCAUGUUUACAUACAUAUAGAUAUGAAAAGUGAUUAAAAUAAGAUAUAAAAAGUUGUGUAUAUUAUGUUUUUUAAUAGUGGACCUAUAAAAAUCUCCUCAGUGAAUUUCAUGUUUUCAUUUAAC
RNAcentral lists this long non-coding RNA (2028 nucleotides) under Sus scrofa (pig). RNAcentral's name for it is "lncRNA (ENSSSCG00055007324.1)". Lineage: Eukaryota; Metazoa; Chordata; Mammalia; Artiodactyla; Suidae. The record is from RNAcentral.